AGGACGAACGCUGGCGGCGUGCUUAACACAUGCAAGUCGAGCGGAAAGGCCCUUCGGGGUACUCGAGCGGCGAACGGGUGAGUAACACGUGAGCAACCUGCCCUUAGCUUCGGGAUAGCUCCGGGAAACCGGAAUUAAUACCGGAUAUGACAACGGCCGACAUCGGCCAUUGUGGAAAGUUUUUCGGCUAGGGAUGGACUCGCGGCCUAUCAGCUAGUUGGUGAGGUAACGGCUCACCAAGGCGACGACGGGUAGCCGGCCUGAGAGGGCGACCGGCCACACUGGGACUGAGACACGGCCCAGACUCCUACGGGAGGCAGCAGUGGGAAUAUUGCGCAAUGGGCGAAAGCCUGACGCAGCGACGCCGCGUGGGGAUGAAGGCCUUCGGGUUGUAACCCUUUCAGCAGGGACGAAGCGAAAGUGACGGUACCUGCAGAAGAAGCGCCGGCUAACGUACGUGCCAGCAGCCGC
Molecule: ribosomal RNA, 471 nt
Filed under: uncultured bacterium
Lineage: Bacteria
Description: SSU rRNA
Rfam family: Bacterial small subunit ribosomal RNA
Source: RNAcentral